CGAGCCGGGCGGACGGCCGCGUGGAGAUCUUCGGAUCUUCCCGAGGAACGUCCGGGCUCCACAGGGCAAGGUGGUGGCUAACGGCCACCCGGGGUGACCCGCGGGACAGUGCCACAGAAAACAGACCGCCGGGGGCCGUAUCCGUACGGGCCUCGGUAAGGGUGAAACGGUGGUGUAAGAGACCACCAGCGCCUGAGGUGACUCAGGCGGCUAGGUAAACCCCACCUGGAGCAAGGUCAAGAGAGGCCGUCGCAAGACGGCCUUGCGCGGACGAUCGAGGGCUGCCCGCCCGAGUCCGCGGGUAGACCGCACGAGGCCGGCGGCAACGCCGGUCCUAGAUGGAUGGCCGUCUCCCCGGCCGCCGCGAGGCGACCGGGCGACAGAACCCGGCGUACAGCCCGACUCGUCUG
Molecule: RNase P RNA, 410 nt
Filed under: Streptomyces sp. ISL-96
Lineage: Bacteria; Bacillati; Actinomycetota; Actinomycetes; Kitasatosporales; Streptomycetaceae
Description: Bacterial RNase P class A
Rfam family: Bacterial RNase P class A
About the family: Ribonuclease P (RNase P) is a ubiquitous endoribonuclease, found in archaea, bacteria and eukarya as well as chloroplasts and mitochondria. Its best characterised activity is the generation of mature 5'-ends of tRNAs by cleaving the 5'-leader elements of precursor-tRNAs. Cellular RNase Ps are ribonucleoproteins.
Source: Rfam by way of RNAcentral